RNAcentral lists this small RNA (239 nucleotides) under Arabidopsis thaliana (thale cress). RNAcentral's name for it is "ATSL271850". The record is from RNAcentral. Lineage: Eukaryota; Viridiplantae; Streptophyta; Magnoliopsida; Brassicales; Brassicaceae.
AACAAGAUCUUAAAAGCCUAAGUAUUGUAUCCUUGUUAGAAGAUACAAAGACAAAACUCAUACGGACUUCCGCUACACCAUCAAAGCUUUGAGAAUCAAGAAGAAGCUUGGUUAGUGUUUUGGGGUCGAAUAUGACUUGAUGUGAUGUGUUUGAUUGAGUAUAAGAACUUAAACCGCAACCGGAUCUUAAAAGUCUAAGUAGUGUUUCCGUGUUCGAAGAUACAAAGCCAAAGCAUCAU